GUUACUAUAUAAACUUCCAUGACUUUACCCUUCCUUAUGUCUACAAAGCCUCUAGGAUAUACAUGACAUAACUAGGGUCGGGACAAACCCCCGCCCACACGUGACUCAUGUACAAUAACAAAACAUAAGGAACCGACUCGGAAAGCUCCGAAGCAAACUGGAGCUCACCAACAAUAGCUGUAUGACCUGGCUCCUACUUGUGCGGUGUAUGAGUUGAGGUACCUGUGCCUGC
RNAcentral lists this long non-coding RNA (232 nucleotides) under Capsicum annuum. RNAcentral's name for it is "long non-coding RNA (CANN_LNC016550)". The record is from RNAcentral. Lineage: Eukaryota; Viridiplantae; Streptophyta; Magnoliopsida; Solanales; Solanaceae.